This 253-nucleotide ribosomal RNA is filed under the name uncultured bacterium. Its description in RNAcentral is "partial 16S ribosomal RNA". It matches the Rfam family "Bacterial small subunit ribosomal RNA", at positions 524 to 776 of the family's 1533-position model. The record is from RNAcentral.
UACGAAGGGGGCUAGCGUUGUUCGGAAUUACUGGGCGUAAAGGGCUCGUAGGCGGCCAACUAAGUCAGACGUGAAAUCCCUCGGCUUAACCGGGGAACUGCGUCUGAUACUGGAUGGCUUGAAUCCGGGAGAGGGAUGCGGAAUUCCAGGUGUAGCGGUGAAAUGCGUAGAUAUCUGGAGGAACACCGGUGGCGAAGGCGGCAUCCUGGACCGGCAUUGACGCUGAGGAGCGAAAGCCAGGGGAGCAAACGGG